GGGGGCGAAUGGUAUCGACCGGGCAAUGGAUUUAUCGGUUGCGUUCCGAGGUUGUCAGGUGGCCUCGUAAAAAACCUGGCGAACAAUUCAUCUGCCAACGCAGAUUACAGAAUGGCAGCGUAAAGCCGCCCGCGCUCUUCUUUCAGCCUGCGGGUUGAAGAGCGCGUAACCAUAGCAGGCUGGCGUCCAAUUUUCUGGUGAGGUGGAGAGGACGUAAGACAUUAGCCUGACCUGCGCCGACCGCGCUUGUUCAUCAGCUACCGCAAGGCAAAGAACCAUCGAUGAACUAUGAACGUAGAAGCCGCUACUGAAAUGUCACGGGACGCGGGUUCGAUUCCCGCCGCCUCCACCA
RNAcentral lists this transfer-messenger RNA (352 nucleotides) under Planctomycetota bacterium. It matches the Rfam family "transfer-messenger RNA". Rfam says of the family: Bacterial tmRNA, also known as 10Sa RNA or SsrA, is named for its dual tRNA and mRNA-like properties. Its role is to liberate the mRNA from a stalled ribosome. Lineage: Bacteria; Pseudomonadati; Planctomycetota. The record is from RNAcentral.